Molecule: long non-coding RNA, 79 nt
Organism: Oxyura jamaicensis (ruddy duck)
Lineage: Eukaryota; Metazoa; Chordata; Aves; Anseriformes; Anatidae
Exons: 3
Source: RefSeq, a predicted model, not a curated record
UCCCUACAGGACAGGUCUUCCAAAUUGUGCCAUCCAGGUUUUGUUCUUUACAUUUCUGUCUAAGCGUAACAGCUUUGAC